This 473-nucleotide ribosomal RNA is filed under the name uncultured delta proteobacterium. RNAcentral's name for it is "bacterial SSU rRNA". It matches the Rfam family "Bacterial small subunit ribosomal RNA", at positions 400 to 863 of the family's 1533-position model. Lineage: Bacteria; Deltaproteobacteria. The record is from RNAcentral.
CGUGAGUGAUGAAGGCUUUCGGGUCGUAAAGCUCUGUCAAGUGGGAAGAAACCAUAUGGUAUUAAUAUCGCCAUAUGCUGACGGUACCACUGAAGGAAGCACCGGCUAACUCCGUGCCAGCAGCCGCGGUAAUACGGGGGGUGCGAGCGUUAUUCGGAAUUACUGGGCGUAAAGAGCGCGUAGGCGGUCUUUUAAGUCAGGUGUGAAAGCCCGGGGCUCAACCCCGGAAGUGCACUUGAAACUAAGAGACUUGAGUAUGGGAGAGGGAAGUGGAAUUCCUGGUGUAGCGGUGAAAUGCGUAGAUAUCAGGAGGAACAUCGGUGGCGAAGGCGACUUCCUGGACCAAUACUGACGCUGAGGCGCGAAGGCGUGGGGAGCAAACAGGAUUAGAUACCCUGGUAGUCCACGCAGUAAACGGUGAACACUAGGUGUAGCGGGUAUUGACCCCUGCUGUGCCGCAGCAAACGCAUUAA